AAGUCGUAACAAGGUUUCCGUAGGUGAACCUGCGGAAGGAUCAUUAAAAAAUUGAGGUAUUCAUUACCUCUUUUUGUAUUUAAAACCUCACUCUAUAAAACCUAAAAUUUUUUUAAAAAUAAAAUUAAAAACUUUCAACAAUGGAUCUCUUGGUUCUC
RNAcentral lists this unclassified non-coding RNA (158 nucleotides) under fungal sp. Its description in RNAcentral is "partial internal transcribed spacer region". The stretch from base 1 to 46 matches the Rfam family "Eukaryotic small subunit ribosomal RNA", at positions 1786 to 1831 of the family's 1831-position model. RNAcentral also lists the same sequence under 1 other name. Lineage: Eukaryota; Fungi. The record is from RNAcentral.